GGAGGGGUGGUCGAGUGGUUAAAGGCACCAGACUGUAAAUCUGGCCGCGAGCGUACGCUGGUUCAGAAUCAGCCCCUCCACCA
RNAcentral lists this transfer RNA (83 nucleotides) under Hyphobacterium sp. CCMP332. Its description in RNAcentral is "tRNA-Tyr". It matches the Rfam family "tRNA". From Rfam's summary of the family: Transfer RNA (tRNA) molecules are approximately 80 nucleotides in length. Their secondary structure includes four short double-helical elements and three loops (D, anti-codon, and T loops). Further hydrogen bonds mediate the characteristic L-shaped molecular structure. tRNAs have two regions of fundamental functional importance: the anti-codon, which is responsible for specific mRNA codon recognition, and the 3' end, to which the tRNAs corresponding amino acid is attached (by aminoacyl-tRNA synthetases). tRNAs cope with the degeneracy of the genetic code in two manners: having more than one tRNA (with a specific anti-codon) for a particular amino acid; and 'wobble' base-pairing, i.e. permitting non-standard base-pairing at the 3rd anti-codon position. Lineage: Bacteria; Pseudomonadati; Pseudomonadota; Alphaproteobacteria; Maricaulales; Maricaulaceae. The record is from RNAcentral.